This 71-nucleotide transfer RNA is filed under the name Succineidae gen. n. sp. z RM-2021. Its description in RNAcentral is "tRNA-Val". The record is from RNAcentral. Lineage: Eukaryota; Metazoa; Mollusca; Gastropoda; Stylommatophora; Succineidae.
AUUAACUUAGUACAUUAAAAAUUUAGUACAUUUCAUUUACAUUGAAAAAAUCUUCUUAAAGAGUUAAUCCU